Molecule: ribosomal RNA, 706 nt
Filed under: uncultured bacterium
Lineage: Bacteria
Description: bacterial SSU rRNA
Rfam family: Bacterial small subunit ribosomal RNA
Source: RNAcentral
UCGAGCGAGAAGCCCGCAAGGGUGAGUAAAGCGGCGCACGGGUGAGUAACACGUGGGUAAUCUUCCUUGGAGCCCGGAAUAACUCCCCGAAAGGGGUGCUAAUGCCGGAUGAGACCACGGGAUCUCCGGAUCCUGAGGGAAAAGGCGGCCUCUGUACACAAGCUGUCACUCCAAGAUGAGCCCGCGGCCCAUCAGCUAGUUGGCGGGGUAAUGGCCCACCAAGGCAUCGACGGGUAGCUGGUCUGAGAGGACGAUCAGCCACACUGGAACUGAGACACGGUCCAGACUCCUACGGGAGGCAGCAGUGGGGAAUUUUGCGCAAUGGGCGAAAGCCUGACGCAGCAACGCCGCGUGUGUGAUGAAGGUCUUCGGAUCGUAAAGCACUGUCGGGAGGGACGAAUAAGGCGGCGGCUAAUAUCCGCAGCCGAUGACGGUACCUCCAAAGGAAGCACCGGCUAACUCUGUGCCAGCAGCCGCGGUAAUACAGAGGGUGCAAGCGUUGUUCGGAAUUAUUGGGCGUAAAGCGCGUGUAGGCGGCCUUGCAAGUUGGGUGUGAAAGCCCUCGGCUUAACCGAGGAAGUGCGCCCAAAACUACAGGGCUUGAGUACCGGAGAGGGUGGCGGAAUUCCCGGUGUAGAGGUGAAAUUCGUAGAUAUCGGGAGGAACACCAGUGGCGAAGGCGGCCACCUGGACGGAUACUGACGCU